UGGAAGGGAUUAAAGGAACACAAUGAAUUCAUCUUCAGGUUUUAUGUGUUACAGCCCUGCAAACACGUCCAUCUCUCCAGCAAUAUGACAAAAGCAGUAUUUGCACAUCUGCAGGGCUAGUGAUUUGUGUGAAUAUAUUUGGAGCAUUUCUUAGGUAACCUGAGCCCCGUCUGCCCGGCAUGGAGCCUGCUAGUUCCAGGUGCCUGAGAUUAGUUUAUUAGUAGAGGCAAGCAAUUAGGGCCUCUGCUGGAGCUAGUGGAGGGCCAUCCAUCCCCUUCCACAGAAAUGAGCUCUGGCCGUCAGUAGUUAUUUUGAGGAGGAAUUUUAGAAUCAGUAUCUAAAGAGAAGAUGAGCCUUUGAGGAGCAUGGGAGAAGUGUAGCUAUUAACAUGCUGGAAACAAAGGACAGGGACCUGUUGGAAUGUAUCCAGAGGAGGGCUGCCAAGAUGAUCAGAGGGCUGAAGCACCUCUCCUAUGAGUAAGGCUGAGACAAUUGGGAUUGUUUAGCCUGGAAAAGAGAUGGCUUCAGGAUGAGUUAACUGCAGGCUUCCGGUAACUGGAAGAAGCCUACAAGAAAGAUGGAGAGGGACUAUUCACAAGAGCAUGAAAGAACAACGGGGGAUGGCUUCAAAAUGAAAAAAAAACGGAUAGCUGCUUGGUAUUUGGGAAUAUUAUCUCUUUGUUUUAAAGGCCAACUGAAAUAGUGGUGUCUCAAUUCACAUUUUGGGGAAGGCAGCCCUGAAGAUCAACUCCAUUGCUGGUGAAGUCCCUUAAAGCACCUCCCUAACUCUGGUCUGAGGGCAGCUUGGGAGGACAUCCAUAUGCUGGAAAUUGUCUUGGAGUUAGUGGCUGAGCAGGAAGACCAGAAGCAGUGGGGAAGAGGCAGAUGAGCCAGCUGGGAUGCACAAAUACAGCAUCCUGAGAGCUAUCUGGGUGCAGUCCACAAGCAGAGACCUUCCAGUAACUCAAAAGGAAGGACCUGACAGUCAGUGAAGAAAGCAACCUCCUCCAAUCAUAAGUUAUAAAACAUCCGGCUCUGUUUUGGAUUAUUUACACACAUGUAAGUCUAGAUAAACUAGAGAGGAACCAAGAAAUUUAUUGUGGGUUUUCACUGGGAUAUCUGAGAGAAGGAUUUGUCACUUCAAUAACUGCAUCCUAAAGCAUUGCCCACAAAGGAGUGAGACAGAAUUCUUGCAGCCACACAACACACAUAAAAAUAUAUAUACUGAAAAAUAUUGCACCAAAUAAAUAGCUACAACUUUAACUGUAUCUAGUGAAACCCAGGAGAACAGAGUGGAGGAAUCCUGAGAACCAGUCAAAACAAAAUGUUAAUUCUAAUUGUUGUAUUUAGUUGGCCUUGUGUUGUGACAAGUUUGUUAUUAUGCAGAUUUCCUACCUGCCACCUUCUAUGGGAGGAUUUUACCAAGUGAAGUUAUGCAGACAAUUCCCCUUGCUUCUUACCUCUUUAUUCGUAAUUAUGUUGGCCCUGUGUUCACUCAAGAUAACAUUAUAGCUGUCCCCAAAUGCUCUCCAUUUGGGGUCUGUGACAAAUGAAAUCUUUCAGUGCCUGGAAUAUUUUUUUUCCCUCUCUUGCAGAAGUGUAGCUAUUAACAUGCUGAAAACAAAGCUGUGCUUGUUUAUUGUCUGACAGUGGGUUACUAGGUGUUACGAAUUUUCACUGAUAUAAUUUUGUAAAUGUUCUCUUCUUUCUUCAGACAGAUUUAUAAUGUAAUGUAUUGUCCUUAAGGUUUUUUUUGUAGUUUUUGGUUUUGCUAGGAAUGUUAUUUUUCCUGCUUAGUAAUAAAUUUUAUGUAUAUGAUGCAUAUAUAAAUAUACCUUGCAUGAUACUAUCCUAUUAAGAGUUAUAAUGAAAAUAAUCUGUAAUUCAUCUGCUACAUAGACAGUAUUCUUGUGUGGAGAAGCUAAGGUGUAGACAUUACAGAUCCAAAGUGCACAAGGAUUGGAAAUCCUGAUUUUUAAGUCCUUUCUUUAACUACUGGAUCAGUAAUAGUUGCAUUGUAUCAAUAAUAUUCUCCAUUUCUGACUUUUCAUCUGGUUUAAUUGUGAAAUAAUGCAGCACUGUGGCUUUCUGUGUUUCUUGUUACAACUGACAGCCAUGGAGGUAUGGUCAGAAGCUGUUUUGGUUUGAUGGUGCUGGAUUUGACAAAGGGUAGGAGAAAGAGGUUAGAGCAAUUGACACUGUACAAUAGCACAGCUUUUAGGUACUGCUCAGACAAACUAAAGCAUCCCUACUCUAAAUCUUUAAGCUGGGUACAAAAGGGCUCUGAGCAGACUGGGUGAGGAGAGGAAGCUGAUCACCCCUAUCACCCAUAAGGAAAGAGCUCAUGGAACGUCACAGCUUCUGUGUCUUUGGGGCCAUUGUGGUCCUUAGUCUUGCUGGGAACAUCCAGUCCAUUUUCUUAUCAACCUCUGGAAGCAUUAAACCUACUCAGAGAAACCAGGAGGAAAGGCAGCCACAUAACAUGGGUGCACACAUCAUGAUGUGCAUGCACAUCAUGCCACAGCCAACCUCUGGGGUCCCUGUGAGUCCCAAGAGAUGUGCUGACAGCACUCCAAGCAAGGUAGUGCCAAAGCACUCCAAAUAGCUGGCACCCCACAUCCAUGCCAUUGUAUUCAGAAUGGCCUGGAAGCCCUGCUGGCCACAAAGCACCUUCUGAAAAAGAAUGGAUGCUGUGAAUAUAUCUCAGACAAAUAUAUCUCAGAAAUAUAUCUCAGACCCUUGGCAGAGCUGCGAAGGUGGGCUGAAAGCUUUGAGGCAGGGCUCAAGGCACUGGGUGCUGCCAGCCCAGCAGUUCGUUGUCUCUACAAGACAAGGCAUGUUUGAAGGUUUCUUCACAGAAACCACAGGGGUUAAA
Passer domesticus (house sparrow) is the source of this 2875-nucleotide long non-coding RNA. RefSeq lists it as uncharacterized. The record is from RefSeq and is a predicted model, not a curated record. Lineage: Eukaryota; Metazoa; Chordata; Aves; Passeriformes; Passeridae. The transcript has 3 exons.